Long non-coding RNA from Suricata suricatta (meerkat), 2090 nucleotides. RefSeq lists it as uncharacterized. The record is from RefSeq and is a predicted model, not a curated record. The transcript has 4 exons. Lineage: Eukaryota; Metazoa; Chordata; Mammalia; Carnivora; Herpestidae.
UGUCUCCCCCUGUCCCCCAGGUUUGGGCUGUGGCACUACAGGGGGGUCUGUGAGCCGAGGCGUGGUCGACCUCCUGCAUCGGACAUCGGGUGGCCCCCUUCCGCGGCAGCGACGGUUCUAGGCUCUCGCCUCUGGGUGGCGGAAACGUAGCCUUCUUUGGAGGCUGCUCCCCCGCUUCCCCGCCCCUCCCCCAGCGCAGCCGAGACGCCGGCGAUCUGCGCAGCCUCCGCUGUGACUCCCCUUCUUCCUCCCUGCGGAGACCCGCACCGCCUCAGCCUCUCGCUGUGGGCCUCCACCCGGGCUCCGGAGCCCAAUCCCCGGUCUCCCCGUCCACGGGUGUUUUCGGGAGCGGUCUGGGCACCAUCAUCGGUUCUGACUCCAGGAUCCUGGCGUGUUGUCAAUAGCAGUUUUUGAAACCACUUCUGCAGGAGGUGAGCAUGCAGAGCUCUGCCGAGAUGAAGACGAAGGAUCAGCCUUGCAGCUGGAAACAGUGCUGAACUCGCUGCCUGGGCGACACCCCCCGCCCCUAGGACCGGGACUGCGUCACAGAGACUGCUGCCCAGGCGGCCUAGAGAGUUUCAGAUAUUUAAGGAUUUCGUGCAUUUAGAGGGGCCAUAUAUCCUGGAUAAGUGGAAAAUUGUGCAGACGUCCUCUGGAAGACCUUCAUUCUAAGCAGCUUUAUAGGAAACCUUUCAUUUUGAAGUCCGGACCUUUUUUCUUCAGCUCGCUGUAAUCUCUGUUCACCAAAGUAGAACCUGUAUUGAUUAUUGGGACCCAGUGUGCUCCAGGUUUCUGGAUUGACUAGAUAUCAGGCGCAAGACCUACAGGAGCCCCAGUACUUCUAGCUCCACGAAAUACGAAGAGGGGAAUCAGGUUUGACUGCUUCUUGGAACAUCAUCGAAGAUCUGGUGGAACGUGGUGGCGGUGCACACCUGGGGUCUGGAAGGAGAGAAGAGCAGAUCUGCAACGCACACGUGUCAAGAGAAUAGAUCUUAAGCCCUCUUGCUACACGCAGAAAAGGUAACUGUGUGAGGUGACGGAUGCAUUCAAAUUAACUUAAUUGUGGUCGUCCUUUCUGUGUCUACAUAUAUCAAAUAGUGUUUCCCACUUUGACUAUAUACAAUUUUAUUUGUCCAUUAUAAUUAAAGCUGGGAAAAAUUAAAAAUACAGUGUCAGACCCAUCGAUUGAUGGUUCUGUUGAGUUAAACCAUAUCCUUACUGAUUUUCUGUCUACCGGAUCUGUCUCUUACUAACAGAGGGAGUGUUGAAAUCCCUCACAUUAGUAGUGGAUUAUCUGCUUCUCUCUGCAUUUUUUUAUCACCUUUUGCCUCUUGUAUUUUGACGCUUUGUUGUAAGGUGCAUAAUUUCCGAGAUUAUUGUGUCUUCUCGGAGAAUUGACCCCUUGUUAUGUAAUAACCUUUUCUACCCCUGCUAAGUUUCCUUGGCCUAUUGCCCUUUUGGGUCGGAAAUUCACAUAGCUACUCCAGCUUUCUUUUGAUUUGUGCGAGCACGGUACACCUUUCCCCACUGUUUUACUUUUAAUCUAUAUGUGUUUUUCUAUUUAAAUUGGGUUUCUUAUCGACACCACAUAGCCGGUGUCGUUUUUCAUCUGCCCUUACGGUCACUUCUUGCAAUUGGCGUGUGUAGACCACUACCUUUUUAAGUGAUCGCUGACAGUUGGAUUUGCAUCCACCAUGUUUGUGAAAGUGUUGUACCUGCUGCACUUAUUCUUUGUGUUCUUUUUAAUCUUCCUGUUUCUGCCCUCUCUUUUAAUUGAGCAUUUUUUAUUAUUCCACUUUCUCUUUUCCCUCAGUGUAUCAGUCAUAUUUCUCUUUAACUUUUUGGUGGUUUCCCUAGACAUGGACUGCGCAACAUAAAUUUACGACCAAUCCAGGUCCACCUUCAGAUACCCCUGCAGCGCAAGCAUAACAGACUCCCCAGCGUCUCAGUCCCUUCCCUUCCUAACACCUGCUGCCGUUUACGCACUGCCCUCCCUGCUAGUAGCGCCCAGUACACUGUGGCCCGUAUUCCUUUGAACAGUCGUCCAUUAGACUAAAUAAGAAUAAGAAAAAUAAAAUACGUGACUUUAA